Non-coding RNA from Podarcis lilfordi (Lilford's wall lizard), 73 nucleotides. The record is from the annotation of a GenBank genome assembly. NCBI's taxonomy places the organism in Eukaryota, Metazoa, Chordata, Lepidosauria, Squamata, Lacertidae.
UUGGUAGCUAAGUUGGUAGAGCCUGAGACUCCUAAUCUCAGGCUCAUGGAUUUGAAUCCCACGUUGGGCAAAA